GAAGAGAAUAUCCCAUGGGGGGGAGGAGUGCAGGGGAAAGUAAAGGUUGGAUGUAGGUUUGUCAAUAGAAAACGUUCGUCAUAGAGUGGGUAUGACAGCUGAGGAAAGGAUGAUAAUGGUAGGUUCAUCUAAGUGGAAACAUUUGGUUUCAUUCUAAGACACUCAAUUCUUGAACGAUCUUGACAGCUCUUCUCCCCUUCAAGAAUAACACUCUCUUCUUGAAGGAAUUUGAUCGUUCUUCUCCCCUUCGUUUCUUGAAAGUUUGGUGUUGCCCAACAUCUCCACUGACAGUUCCGCAUUGCAUGAUAUACUCAU
This 315-nucleotide long non-coding RNA is filed under the name Musa acuminata (dwarf banana). RNAcentral's name for it is "long non-coding RNA (MACU_LNC003849)". The record is from RNAcentral. Lineage: Eukaryota; Viridiplantae; Streptophyta; Magnoliopsida; Zingiberales; Musaceae.